Molecule: ribosomal RNA, 223 nt
Filed under: uncultured Leotiomycetes
Lineage: Eukaryota; Fungi; Ascomycota; Leotiomycetes
Description: partial small subunit ribosomal RNA
Rfam family: Bacterial small subunit ribosomal RNA
Source: RNAcentral
UACGUAGAAGACUAGUGUUAUUCAUCUUUAGUAGGUUUAAAGGGUACCUAGACGGUAUUACUAGCCCAAAACAGGGUACGGUUUUACUAGAGUUUUAUAUGAGAAGGGGAGUAUUUAUGGAGUAGAGAUAAAAUUCUUUGAUCCCAUAACGACUGGUAGCGGCGAAAGCAACCUUCUAUCUAAUAACUGACGUUGAGGGACGAAGGCCUGGGUAGCCAACAGG